AUUGAACGCUGGCGGCAGGCCUAACACAUGCAAGUCGAGCGGAUGAAGGGAGCUUGCUCCUGGAUUCAGCGGCGGACGGGUGAGUAAUGCCUAGGAAUCUGCCUGGUAGUGGGGGAUAACGUCCGGAAACGGGCGCUAAUACCGCAUACGUCCUGAGGGAGAAAGUGGAGGAUCUUCGGACCUCACGCUAUCAGAUGAGCCUAGGUCGGAUUAGCUAGUUGGUGGGGUAAAGGCCUACCAAGGCGACGAUCCGUAACUGGUCUGAGAGGAUGAUCAGUCACACUGGAACUGAGACACGGUCCAGACUCCUACGGGAGGCAGCAGUGGGGAAUAUUGGACAAAGGGCGAAAGCCUGAUCCAGCCAUGCCGCGUGUGUGAAGAAGGUCUUCGGAUUGUAAAGCACUUUAAGUUGGGAGGAAGGGCAGUAAGUUAAUACCUUGCUGUUUUGACGUUACCAACAGAAUAAGCACCGGCUAACUUCGUG
RNAcentral lists this ribosomal RNA (484 nucleotides) under uncultured bacterium. Its description in RNAcentral is "partial 16S ribosomal RNA". It matches the Rfam family "Bacterial small subunit ribosomal RNA", at positions 30 to 507 of the family's 1533-position model. The record is from RNAcentral.